Molecule: ribosomal RNA, 467 nt
Filed under: uncultured bacterium
Lineage: Bacteria
Description: partial 16S ribosomal RNA
Rfam family: Bacterial small subunit ribosomal RNA
Source: RNAcentral
GACGAACGCUGGCGGCGUGCUUAACACAUGCAAGUCGAACGGAAAGGCCCUGCUUUUGUGGGGUGCUCGAGUGGCGAACGGGUGAGUAACACGUGAGUAACCUGCCCUUGACUUUGGGAUAACUUCAGGAAACUGGGGCUAAUACCGGAUAGGAGCUCCUGCUGCAUGGUGGGGGUUGGAAAGUUUCGGCGGUUGGGGAUGGACUCGCGGCUUAUCAGCUUGUUGGUGGGGUAGUGGCUUACCAAGGCUUUGACGGGUAGCCGGCCUGAGAGGGUGACCGGCAAAAUUGGGACUGGGAUACGGCCCAGACUCGUACGGGAGGAAGAAGUGGGGAUUAUUGCACAAUGGGCGGAGGCCUGAUGCAGCAACGCCGCGGGCGGGAUGACGGCCUCCGGGUUGUAAACGGCUUUCGCCGGUGACGAAGCGUGAGUGACGGUAUUGGGUAAAGAAGCACCGGCUAAUUACGU